This 253-nucleotide ribosomal RNA is filed under the name uncultured bacterium. RNAcentral's name for it is "partial 16S ribosomal RNA". It matches the Rfam family "Bacterial small subunit ribosomal RNA", at positions 524 to 776 of the family's 1533-position model. The record is from RNAcentral.
UACGGGGGGGGCAAGCGUUGUUCGGAAUUACUGGGCGUAAAGGGCUCGUAGGUGGCCAACUAAGUCGGACGUGAAAUCCCCCGGCUCAACCGGGGAACGGGCACCGAUACGAGCGGCCUGGAGGGGAGUAGGGGGACCUGGAACUUCCGGUGGAGCGGUGAAAUGCGUUGAGAUCGGAAGGAACGCCCGUGGCGAAAGCGAGGUCCUGGGCUCCUGCUGACGCUGAGACGCGAAAGCCAGGGGAGCGAACGGG